RNA transcript from Musa acuminata subsp. malaccensis (wild Malaysian banana), 2912 nucleotides. It is a transcript of the gene named rhamnogalacturonan I rhamnosyltransferase 1-like, with no coding region annotated. NCBI's taxonomy places the organism in Eukaryota, Viridiplantae, Streptophyta, Magnoliopsida, Zingiberales, Musaceae. The record is from RefSeq and is a predicted model, not a curated record.
CUCUCUCUCUCUCCAUCCCGUGUAUAAAACGGGGAUGAUCCAAGAGGCCGCCGAUCCCUCCCUCGAAUCCUUCUCUCGCUCCCGUGAAAUCACCGCCCAGCGCUGAUCUCUCCAUUCAAAUACAUCCUCUAAAUCGCCACACUUGGCCUUCGGAUCUGGAAACUGUAGAAAGAACGGGACUUUUAGGCGUCUUUCUGGGAGUAAUCGACGGUCUUUGUGGCUUGCUUCUGGAAAGAAAUCAGGUGACGCCUUUGUUUGAUCUCCUAGUCGGGGAGGAAAACUGUGGGAGAGUUGGCUUGAAGUGAUACAAUGGGUAGUCGGUGGAGACGUCUUCAAUUCUGAUAGAAUUUGAGGCGUUUAAGGAUUCUGAUUCGCUGUGUGCAGCUGCAUUGAGUGGAAGAAUCAGUUUAAAAGAUCUUGAAGGUUUGUGGAGCAGAUGCUAAGGGAUCGAAUCUAAGUAUUCUCUUUCCAUUAAUAAGAGAGAGAGAGAGAGAGAGAGAGCUCUUUGGAUCCAAGGGAUGUGCCGGUUAGAAAGGACAACAGGAUCUCACUCCUCGGGGGAGAGAUAGAUUGAUCUGAAGCCCGGGGUAAGCGAAUCGAGCACGGACAAGCUGCAGAGCACGAUAGUGUCGAGACCGAAGAUGAAGCUUUGGGUGAUCCGGAUGACUGCGGUGGUGUUAUUGUGGACGUGCGUUCUCCACCUGAUGGCAUUAGGGGAGAUAUGGAGGCCGAGGGUCUUGAAAGGAUGGCCCUCUUGCUUCACCCCAUCGGAGUCGCCGCUUCUGGUGAAACAAGCCUCUACAGCCGUCGAGAAAAUCGUUCUGCCACCCAAAAGAAUCUACAAAAAUAAUGGGUACCUGAUGGUUUCAUGCAAUGGUGGGCUUAAUCAAAUGCGAUCAGCGAUCUGUGACAUGGUUGCUAUUGCGAGAUAUUUGAAUGUGACACUCAUAGUACCAGAGUUGGACAAGACCUCUUUUUGGAAUGACCCUAGUGAAUUCCAGGACAUAUUCGACCUCGAUCAUUUUAUCACUUCUUUGAGAGAUGAGGUCCGGAUAUUGAAAGAAUUGCCACCUAGGUUAAAAACAAGGGUUGAGCUGGGAAUGUUUUAUUCGAUGCCACCUGUUAGUUGGUCUGAUAUCGCUUAUUACCAAAAUCAGGUUCUUCCUUUGAUACGGAAGCACAAGGUCGUUCAUUUGAAUAAAACAGAUGCUCGGCUAGCUAACAAUGGUCUACCAUUAGAGAUACAAAAGUUACGCUGCAGAGUAAAUUAUGCUUUUCUUAGAUUCACUCCUCAAAUUGAAGAAUUGGGCAGAAGAAUAAUUAAAAUUCUGCAACAGAAUGGCCUUUUUCUUGUUCUCCAUUUACGAUAUGAAAUGGACAUGUUGGCCUUCUCUGGAUGUACUCACGAUUGCACUGAUGAAGAAGCAGAUGAAUUGACAAGAAUGAGAUAUGCUUAUCCCUGGUGGAAAGAAAAAGUCAUCAACUCUGACAAAAAAAGAAAAGAUGGUCUCUGUCCUUUAACACCAGAAGAAACCACUUUGGUAUUGAGGGCACUGGAUAUUGAUCGCAAUGUUCAAAUAUAUAUCGCAGCUGGAGAGAUAUAUGGUGGAGACAGGAGAAUGGCUGCUCUUUUUGCUGCUUAUCCAAAAGUGGUAAAAAAGGAAACUUUACUGGGACCUUCUGAUCUUAGAUACUUCCAGAAUCACUCAUCACAAAUGGCAGCAUUGGAUUACUUGGUUUCGUUAGAGAGUGAUAUCUUCAUUCCUACAUAUGAUGGUAACAUGGCUAAAGUCGUUGAAGGUCAUCGCAGGUACUUGGGCUUCAGGAAGACAAUCUUAUUGGACAGAAGGCUCCUGGUUGAUCUGAUAGAUGAGUACAACAAUGGUACUUUAAGUUGGGAUGAAUUCUCUUUAUCAGUUAAGGCAACUCAUGCUGAUCGAAUGGGAAGCCCCACCAGGAGAGUGGUGAUUCCUGACAGGCCCAAGGAAGAAGACUAUUUCUAUGCAAACCCCCAAGAGUGUCUCCCACAGCCUGAUAAACCAUCGACUUCAUGAAUUCAUUGAGAUGACACCAUUCCUGUAUAGCUGUUCUUUCCAAGAAUGGCAUUGAUUUGAAACCUUUAUGAAGGUAACCAUUGGAUCAACUGAUGAUAAUGCUGGAUGGUUUCCUUCCCAGGAGGAUACAAACCAAAGAGGUUAGCAAGUUGCGUGUCUUUUCUGAUGCAGCUGACACUUAAGUCAGUGGUCAAUGAUGGAGCAAAAGGGUGGUGAAUUGGGAGAAGAAAUGGACUUCAAGAACAGAACAAUGUUGGAAGAAGAGUCUUCUGGUUGGUGAUCUAAACAGUCAAUUAUGUGGUUUUAGAAGAAGUUGGAGUUUAGGCUACUCUAAACAGAGGUUCUAGCAUACAAUUUUAGCUUGAAACAUAAGAACACUGAGUCACCUGCUCUCCGAAGAGGUUUCUUAUCUUUUGGGGAAUCAGAACCUUGGUACGGCUGCCAAUGUGAUGAUAGUAUGAUGAAAACAGGUGCUCUCGAUUGCUAAAUGCCACCUAUAUGUGUUCUUGAAACAACCAUAUAUGACAGGCAUGUGAAAAAUCAUUGACUGAGGUUUUUAACUCUAAGUUUGAACUAGCAAACUCUUCAAAGCUUGCCCAGAAGAAAUGAUAUUUAUUUCAUGGAAGCUAAAGCUUACAUCAGAAGUCCAUCUCUUGCUUUUCUUGUGCCAACAGAGGCCUGAAAUUUAUCUCAAUACAUGUGAUCAUUUGUUUCUUCUAUGUACCCAUUACAGGCUCUCUUUAAACAAAAGAGACAAAGAUGCUUCUGUCAGUGCAACGUGCAUCAGCAGUACAUUUUAUCUCUGUAGUCGGUGACUCCGUGAUGUUCCAGCAAUGAAUGAUUUGUUGUCAAUCAAAA